CUGGCGGCGCACAUAAGACAUGCAAGUCGAACGAACUUAAUUCGAAAGUUUACUUUUGAAAGCGGUUAGUGGCGGACUGGUGAGUAACGCGUAAGCAAUCUGCCUAUCAGAGGGGAAUAACAGUGAGAAAUCACUGCUAAUACCGCAUAAGCUGUGAGGAGCACAUGCUCUAAAUAGAAAAGGAGUAAUCCGCUGAUAGAUGAGCUUGCGUCUGAUUAGUUAGUUGGUGAGGUAACGGCCCACCAAGACGAUGAUCAGUAGCCGGACUGAGAGGUUGAACGGCCACAUUGGGACUGAGAUACGGCCCAGACUCCUACGGGAGGCAGCAGUCGGGAAUAUUGCGCAAUGGAGGAAACUCUGACGCAGUGACGCCGCGUGCAGGAAGAAGGUUUUCGGAUUGUAAACUGCUUUAGACAGGGACGAAAUAAAUGACGGUACCUGUAGAAUAAGCUCCGGCUAACUACGUGCCAGCGGCCGCGGUAAUACGUAGGGAGCAAGCGUUAUCCGGAUUUAUUGGGUGUAAAGGGUGCGUAGACGGAAAGACAAGUUAGUUGUGAAAUACCUCGGCUUAACUGAGGAACUGCAACUAAAACUAUCUAUCUUGAGUACUGGAGGGGAAAGUGGAAUUCCUAGUGUAGCGGUGAAAUGCGUAGAUAUUAGGAAGAACACCGGUGGCGAAGGCGGCUUUCUGGACAGUAACUGACGUUGAUGCACGAAAGUGUGGGGAGCAAACAGGAUUAGAUACCCUGGUAGUCCACACCGUAAACGAUGGAUACUAGGUGUAGGUGAUGAUAAGUCAUCUGUGCCGUCGCAAACGCAGUAAGUAUCCCACCUGGGGAGUACGGCCGCAAGGUUGCAACUCAAAUGAAUUGACGG
Molecule: ribosomal RNA, 876 nt
Filed under: uncultured bacterium
Lineage: Bacteria
Description: bacterial SSU rRNA
Rfam family: Bacterial small subunit ribosomal RNA
Source: RNAcentral